GAAAAUCUUAAGUUUAGAGUGGCAACAGAAAAAAAGGUUCAUCUUCAAGGUUUCCCCUUUAACAAAUGAGAAUAGAUUUCAAAGAGACUGAAGCACCUGCCAGUAUAUGCAGACUAAGAACUGCCAGAGGGUUUUAUUUCCAGUUGUACCUCCUCCAUCUCACAGAUGCCUUUCUUCAUGUCAGUGCCAAAGAAUGGCUAGCAGGAUCUUUGCCCUUGUUUGGAAGAAGAGUACUUCCUGUGAGACUGGGACAUAGUGAAUUGAUGCUUAAGACUUUUGAUGUACCUGCAUCAUGGUGCCUGUGCCAAACAGCAGUUACAGUGACUCACUGCUGUGAAAAAGUUACAAUUCUGAAUCAAAGGAGACAAGGACACAUGGUACAAGCCGUUCAUCCAUUCAUGAGGAGAACAAAACCUGCAACUGUUUUAUCAGAUUGCCUGGUGGAUCCUGUGGGCCUUUUGGCACUUAGCAGCACAGUACCCAAGUGCCUUUGUGGAACAUGCAUUGGAAAUUUCCAUAAUUUUUUAGCUGAGGAUUUAGGAAAAGUGCCUUUCCUCAGCUGGAAAGCUGGAACUGAAGAGGGACCAGGGACUUUGCAGAUGGAAAAACUGGGACAAAAGAGCAGCAAAGAAGCAACUGUKGUGUUCUUGUAGAAAUGGUCCACGCACAGGAAAUCCAGACGUAGAAGAAGGCAAGAAACUGAGGGAAGGCAACGUCAUGGAUGUAAAGGAGAAACACUUAGAGAGCAAAACAGUCUUUAGGAAAGGAUUUAUUUAAAAGGAGGUGAUGUUUUUUAAAGACAUGAUAUGAAAGCAGAGAGAAGUUUGAAUUUGAUUUGCUGGCCUCUUUAAGUAACAUAGGUUUUCUCAUAUAAGAAGGUGGAUCCUUGCUGGACAAUACUGUGAGUAUACAAGCAAGAGGAUUUGAGGAACUAGUGAUAGGGAGAUUUCCCUUUUUAAUUCAUUUUACUUUUCCAUAAUAUCCUCAGGAAAACUAAUACAUUUGGUUGGCAUAUUAGUGUUGGGGACUGUCUUUGAGCUGCCAUUCUUAUAUUCAGUUCUAUUAAAAAAUACACAGUGUGGAUAUUUUGCAACUUUAAACUUGUGUUUGUAACUUUUUUCCUUCUGCUUUUCUUAAAAGUAUUUUGUAUUUCUGUCUCUCUGGAGCCAAAAGAGUUGCCACACUGCAGCUCAGGGACUGCUUUCUCGUGGUAUCCCCUCGCAAGAUACUGCACAGGUAUAUACUGUCUGUUCUAGGCUGUAGUCCCUGUGCCAGCGUAUUAUCGUGCCAGGCUCGGARCUAGACCAACAUUUAUGGGCCUGUUGUCUUUGAUUUGUCUAAUCCCCAUUUUAAAUUUACUGAGCAAAUCUGCCUUCACAACCMACAAUGACAGCAAAUUGUGGAAGUUCACUACCUGCUGCGUAGAAAAGACACCUCUUUAUUUUCAGUGCAACUUUUUUGCAAGACUUAAAGGCUGG
RNAcentral lists this long non-coding RNA (1478 nucleotides) under Dromaius novaehollandiae (emu). Its description in RNAcentral is "lncRNA (ENSDNVG00000015776.1)". Lineage: Eukaryota; Metazoa; Chordata; Aves; Casuariiformes; Dromaiidae. The record is from RNAcentral.